GGACAAGAGGGACAAGGCCCCCUUAAACCUAAGCGCCUUCCAGCAAAACAGAUGAUAUAAUCUCAAUCUCAACAGGAGUAAAUAAUACUAGCCCUAGCCCAGGGCUU
This 107-nucleotide ribosomal RNA is filed under the name Erophylla sezekorni. Its description in RNAcentral is "partial 16S ribosomal RNA". The record is from RNAcentral. Lineage: Eukaryota; Metazoa; Chordata; Mammalia; Chiroptera; Phyllostomidae.